GAUGAAGAACGCAGCGAAAUGCGAUAAGUAAUGUGAAUUGCAGAAUUCCGUGAAUCAUCGAAUCUUUGAACGCACAAUGCGCCCUCUGGUAUUCCGGGGGGCAUGCCUGUCCGAGCGUCAUUUGCAACCCUCAAGCCCGGCUUGUGUGAUGGGUGCCGUCCCCUACGGGACGCGCCCCGAAGGCAAUGGCGGCGUCGCGGUUAUCCGAUCAGCCAAAGUGUAUGGGGCUUUGUCACUCACUUUACGGCCCGGACCGGCGCCAGUCCGAAUCAAUCUUUUUUCUAAAGUUGACCUCGGAUCAGGUAGGGAUACCCGCUGAACUUAAGCAUAUCAAUAAGCGGAGGA
Molecule: unclassified non-coding RNA, 345 nt
Filed under: soil metagenome
Description: partial contains 5.8S ribosomal RNA, internal transcribed spacer 2, and large subunit ribosomal RNA
Rfam family: 5.8S ribosomal RNA (bases 1-120)
Source: RNAcentral